UAGAUUUAAUAAAAAACCCAA
RNAcentral lists this non-coding RNA (21 nucleotides) under Caenorhabditis elegans. Lineage: Eukaryota; Metazoa; Nematoda; Chromadorea; Rhabditida; Rhabditidae. The record is from RNAcentral.